RNAcentral lists this ribosomal RNA (488 nucleotides) under uncultured bacterium. RNAcentral's name for it is "partial 16S ribosomal RNA". It matches the Rfam family "Bacterial small subunit ribosomal RNA", at positions 28 to 507 of the family's 1533-position model. The record is from RNAcentral.
GACGAACGCUGGCGGCGUGCUUAACACAUGCAAGUCGAACGCGCCUGUCCUCUGGGUUUCUGGGGGGUGGGUGAGUGGCGAACGGGUGAGUAACACGUGAGUAACCUGCCCCCUUCUUCGGGAUAACGGUCUGAAAGGGCUGCUAAUACCGGGUAUUCACUGGUCUCCGAAUGGGGUCUGGUGGAAAGGUUUUUUUCUGGUGGGGGAUGGGCUCGCGGCCUAUCAGCUUGUUGGUGGGGUGAUGGCCCACCAAGGCUUUGACGGGUAGCCGGCCUGAGAGGGUGACCGGUCACAUUGGGACUGAGAUACGGCCCAGACUCCUACGGGAGGCAGCAGUGGGGAAUAUUGCACAAUGGGCGCAAGCCUGAUGCAGCGACGCCGCGUGAGGGAUGGAGGCCUUCGGGUUGUGAACCUCUUUCGCCCGUGGUCAAGCCGCGACGUGGGUCGUGGUGAGGGUAGUGGGUAAAGAAGCGCCGGCUAACUACGUG